This 1429-nucleotide ribosomal RNA is filed under the name Bacillus licheniformis. RNAcentral describes it as "bacterial SSU rRNA". It matches the Rfam family "Bacterial small subunit ribosomal RNA". Lineage: Bacteria; Bacillati; Bacillota; Bacilli; Caryophanales; Bacillaceae. The record is from RNAcentral.
AGCGGACCGACGGGAGCUUGCUCCCUUAGGUCAGCGGCGGACGGGUGAGUAACACGUGGGUAACCUGCCUGUAAGACUGGGAUAACUCCGGGAAACCGGGGCUAAUACCGGAUGCUUGAUUGAACCGCAUGGUUCAAUCAUAAAAGGUGGCUUUUAGCUACCACUUACAGAUGGACCCGCGGCGCAUUAGCUAGUUGGUGAGGUAACGGCUCACCAAGGCGACGAUGCGUAGCCGACCUGAGAGGGUGAUCGGCCACACUGGGACUGAGACACGGCCCAGACUCCUACGGGAGGCAGCAGUAGGGAAUCUUCCGCAAUGGACGAAAGUCUGACGGAGCAACGCCGCGUGAGUGAUGAAGGUUUUCGGAUCGUAAAACUCUGUUGUUAGGGAAGAACAAGUACCGUUCGAAUAGGGCGGUACCUUGACGGUACCUAACCAGAAAGCCACGGCUAACUACGUGCCAGCAGCCGCGGUAAUACGUAGGUGGCAAGCGUUGUCCGGAAUUAUUGGGCGUAAGCGCGCGCAGGCGGUUUCUUAAGUCUGAUGUGAAAGCCCCCGGCUCAACCGGGGAGGGUCAUUGGAAACUGGGGAACUUGAGUGCAGAAGAGGAGAGUGGAAUUCCACGUGUAGCGGUGAAAUGCGUAGAGAUGUGGAGGAACACCAGUGGCGAAGGCGACUCUCUGGUCUGUAACUGACGCUGAGGCGCGAAAGCGUGGGGAGCGAACAGGAUUAGAUACCCUGGUAGUCCACGCCGUAAACGAUGAGUGCUAAGUGUUAGAGGGUUUCCGCCCUUUAGUGCUGCAGCAAACGCAUUAAGCACUCCGCCUGGGGAGUACGGUCGCAAGACUGAAACUCAAAGGAAUUGACGGGGGCCCGCACAAGCGGUGGAGCAUGUGGUUUAAUUCGAAGCAACGCGAAGAACCUUACCAGGUCUUGACAUCCUCUGACAACCCUAGAGAUAGGGCUUCCCCUUCGGGGGCAGAGUGACAGGUGGUGCAUGGUUGUCGUCAGCUCGUGUCGUGAGAUGUUGGGUUAAGUCCCGCAACGAGCGCAACCCUUGAUCUUAGUUGCCAGCAUUCAGUUGGGCACUCUAAGGUGACUGCCGGUGACAAACCGGAGGAAGGUGGGGAUGACGUCAAAUCAUCAUGCCCCUUAUGACCUGGGCUACACACGUGCUACAAUGGGCAGAACAAAGGGCAGCGAAGCCGCGAGGCUAAGCCAAUCCCACAAAUCUGUUCUCAGUUCGGAUCGCAGUCUGCAACUCGACUGCGUGAAGCUGGAAUCGCUAGUAAUCGCGGAUCAGCAUGCCGCGGUGGAAUACGUUCCCGGGCCUUGUACACACCGCCCGUCACACCACGAGAGUUUGUAACACCCGAAGUCGGUGAGGUAACCUUUUGGAGCCAGCCGCCGAAAGGUGGGACAGAUGAU